CGGGGCGUAGUAUACCGGUAGUACGCUUGCUUUGGGAGCAAGUAGACUGGGUCCGAUUCCCAGCGCCCCGA
This 71-nucleotide transfer RNA is filed under the name bacterium. Its description in RNAcentral is "tRNA-Pro". It matches the Rfam family "tRNA". Rfam says of the family: Transfer RNA (tRNA) molecules are approximately 80 nucleotides in length. Their secondary structure includes four short double-helical elements and three loops (D, anti-codon, and T loops). The record is from RNAcentral.